Molecule: ribosomal RNA, 463 nt
Filed under: uncultured bacterium
Lineage: Bacteria
Description: partial 16S ribosomal RNA
Rfam family: Bacterial small subunit ribosomal RNA
Source: RNAcentral
ACGAACGCUGGCGGCGUGCUUAACACAUGCAAGUCGAACGGUAAGGCCCCAGCUUGCUGGGGUACACGAGUGGCGAACGGGUGAGUAACACGUGGGUGACCUGCCCCGCACUUCGGGAUAAGCCUGGGAAACUGGGUCUAAUACCGGAUAGGACCGCACCGUGAGGGUGUGGUGGAAAGUUUUUCGGUGUGGGAUGGGCCCGCGGCCUAUCAGCUUGUUGGUGGGGUAAUGGCCUACCAAGGCGGCGACGGGUAGCCGGCCUGAGAGGGUGGACGGGCACAUUGGGACUGAGACACGGCCCAGACUCCUACGGGAGGCAGCAGUGGGGAAUAUUGCACAAUGGGCGGAAGCCUGAUGCAGCGACGCCGCGUGGGGGAUGACGGCCUUCGGGUUGUAAACUCCUUUCACCAUCGACGAAGGUUUUCUGACGGUAGAUGGAGAAGAAGCACCGGCUAACUACGUG